UCAUCAGUCUUGUAUGCUGCACGGUUAGCUUGCAUUCCUUCCUCAGCCUUGUUGGCUAGAGCUAAGUCUCCCUUGCUUCCGAAGAGACCAAGGGACCCUUCCUCCUUCUGGAGCUGCGCACACACUUCCUCCAUGGAUGGAAGACUUGGCAUCCUCAGCAUGUGCUUGAUCACAUCGUUGAACGGAGGAUCCAACGUUAACAGCAACCCAAACACCUGAUCCU
RNAcentral lists this long non-coding RNA (223 nucleotides) under Brassica rapa (field mustard). RNAcentral's name for it is "long non-coding RNA (BRAP_LNC008708)". The record is from RNAcentral. Lineage: Eukaryota; Viridiplantae; Streptophyta; Magnoliopsida; Brassicales; Brassicaceae.